AAACUGACGCAAUACUUCAAAUAACAGCAAGAAGCAAUCUACUAUAUCAGAUAACAUACAUACAAAUGUGAUCAGCAUCAAGUUUACAAUUAGAUAACAGCUCUACAAGUGUACAGUCUACCACAUACAAAUUAUAUAACAGCUCUAUCACAUGAGCCCUACAAGUUCUGCUACAUCACACAUACAAAUAGGAUCAGCCUAAAGGGUUUCAUUACUCCCAGAACUAGCUCCAACUAGCUUCUUCCAACUUCUUUGUCUUGAAGCUCGUGAAGAAACAUGAAAGGCCAGCAUCUGCACGUUAUAGAACAAAAUGAUUAGGAACAAAAUAUAAGUAUAUCUAACAGCAUAUUUAACAGUAAAUAACAGAAUAAUGCAAUAAAUUGGUACAGAGCAAGGUACAGAGCACAGGCCAGGUCAACAAUAAAUAGGUACUAAAUCCAUAAAUAACCAUCUGAAAUGAACUUAAUGAGACAUUUUAGAAUCAACUUGACAGUUAACAGUAAUGUUUGCAUUGGCCACAUCCAGAACUAGAACUGAAAUCAUUUACUCUAUCAAGCAUAUCUACAAUGAUGCAGCACACAAAAAAAGAGAGGUGCACAACAGAGCAGCAUCAUAUAUCACACAACAUGGACACUCUUUGAACAAACAUAGUGUUCCGGUCUAAAACCACAGCCAAUUUCGGAAGCAUGUCGAAUAACUAAACAUACAUACAUGUGAAUAAUUAAACAUACAUACAUGUGUAUAUAGAAGCAGCAGAAGCAAAUAAUAACUAGAACAUGAUAAGCUUAGACUCAAGUGAUCGUGAGACACCAAUAUGAGCUUAGAAUUCACAAGUACACAUUAAUUGUAAUCACUUAGUAGUCAUCCGCCUAAGCAAGCACAGAAGUACAAUGCUUCAGAUACAUGUAUGUAGCAAGAAAAACAGGCAAUGUGAUGACAGUAUGAGCGCACAAUAAUUUUGGGAGUAAAAAGAACAUAAAUAAAACAACACAAUGCUUGAGAUACAUGUAUGCAGCAAGAAAAACAAGCAAUGUGAUGACAGUAUGAGCGCGCAAUAAUUCUGGGAGUAAAAACAAGCAAUACAACAAUCUCUGGAACACCUAGGUAUGAUUGCUUGUUGUUCAUGAGUGUCAACCAUCUGCAUGUGUGUACAUCAAAAAGAAAACAACAGGAUUCAAUUCAUCUUGCCCAUAUACAGCAACCAAUAGACAUCAAACAUCAUUAGAUUACCACAAACUGAAAUACAAAAUCACGAUGAUAGGUCCACAUGCUUCUAUUGUCAGCAUGAUAAAUUGAUAUGCAUCGAACUUGCAUGAUGUUUGAUGAACUUUGUGCACUACUGUAUUGAUAUGCAUCAGUUCCAAAUUGGUGUGCACUACUGUUGUCAGCAUGAUAAAUUGAUAUGCACUGUUGUUGUUGCUGCUGUUAAACAAAUCACUACUGCUACUCCUGAGAGCAAUUCCUACUCCUGCACAGAAAGUUUACUCCUAGGAGUAUACUGGAAAAGUUUACUCCAGCAAACAAAGAGAAGAGAAGAGAGAAGAGAAAGAAAAACUUAACAGCAGUAACGAAGUCCUAUACUACUGUUGUCCUACACUAAACUACUGCAACCAGUACUGAUGCAAGCUUAACAGCAGCAGCAAGUGCUAUACUACUGAUGUCCAGAGUACACUUAAAUGAAAUAAUUCAUUUAUUUUUAAAAGUACUGAUGCAAGCAAUAGACUACACAAAACCUUCAUUAAAGGAGUACUCCAAUUCAUCUUUAAAACAGUUUAUGCAAGCAUUAAAGGAAUAGUUUCAGUUAUUUUUGAUUAACUGGGAAGGUUUUAGCUAAUUUUAUUAAAGGAAAAGGUUUAGUUAAUUUUAAUUAAAAGAAGAGAAGAGAAGAGAAUAGCAGAGCAAGCAAUGCUACUGCUCCAAGCUAAUCUGACUGCAAAUCAGUAAUUACUGCAAGCAGCUCCAUGAAAAGUACUCCAAGCAGUACAAAUUUAAUUAAUGGAAAAGAUUCACCUAGCAAGGUUUAUUUGACAUGGAGUAGUUUAAUCGCUGCUCCAAAACAAGCAAACAUGCUACUGAUGCAUGACAAUAUGUGUCAAAGAGUUUCUACAAGAAGUUACUCCUAUUGCUACUGAUGCAAAACUACUCCUAAUGGACUGCUACAGCUAUACUGCAAGAAGUUACAGCUAUACUCCAUGUACUGCUGUCCAGAAGUAUUCCAAUUCAUCUUUAAAAAAAUGUUCAAGCACUGACUGAAAAAGGAAUGCAAAAAGAGAUGCAGUACGUAGCUGUACUCAAGUGGAGAGCAUCCGCCCAAAAGAAAACAAAGAUAAUGGCUGAAAAAAUUACUCCGGUUUAAACUCCUCUUUUAGCAGUACAAAUUAUAGCUACUGCAACAUCAUGGAAGCUGAUGUCCAGGAGUAUUUGCAAAUGAUAUAGCAUCAUGGAGUAGGAUAACAUGUUUUAGCAGUACAGGUUAUAGAGUAAGCAAGCAAGCAAGCAAUCAUGGGAGAUAAUGCUGCCAAUUAAUAUCAGCACCAAUGUUUUUGAGUCGAUGAGUCGACGGGUCGCUCGGGGAGGGCGACUCUAGACUAGUCGUGACUAGUCUAGACUCACGGUCGAUGAGUCGACAUGGCGACGAGUCAACGCGAGUUAAGCAGCAGGCAGUCAGGGGAGGAGCACAAGUGCACAGCAGCAGCAGCAACCAGGGGAGGAGGGGAGGAGCACACCACCACCAGCAGUAACCAGGGCCAACUGAGAGAUGGGCCACUAGUUAUGCACUUCCCUGUGGCCCAAAAGCCCAUCUAGUAGCUAUAUACUCCUCCUGUGACCUAAUCCACCAUCCACACUCCCUCCUCCCUCACCACAGCCGCCACACAUUCUGCGGCCACUCUCUUGCCACCAGUCCACCACUCCUCCCAGCGAUGGAUCUCUCAACUCCCCCGCAGCAGCUCUCUUGCCACCGCUCCUCCUCCCAGCCUGCUCCUCUUGCCGCUUCAGCUUCAGCAGCAGCAGCAGCGCGGUGGCAAGGGCGCAGCAGCAGCAGCGAGGCAGCACAGCAGCAGCAGCAGCACGGCGGCGGGAGAGUGCUCCAGAUCCAGCGCUGCCUCAAGUCGUUCGACCCAAAAACCGCGACUAGUCGUGACUAGUCGAGACUAGUCGCGCGAGUCGCUCGACUCAUCCCAGGAGUCGAGUCGAGAGGCUGAGUCGGCCCUGGAACUGCGACUCGUCGACUAGUCGACGACUAGUCGAGCGACUCAAAAUCCAUGAUCAGCACAUGACAAGACAAAAAGCAUGGCAUGAACACAAGCAUCAAUAGCAUACUAACACCUAAACUGCUACUAAAUUGAUGGAGUCCCAUCCAUCCAUGAGAGAAGAAAGUUCCUUUGUGGUUGAUAAAGAGAAGAGAACACUUCCUCUUGCUGGGAUCAAACCAGAGGAUACCAACCUGUCCACCAAUUUGCAGGUUGUGUGGCUCAAGGUCAUGGUGCCGGACACCGCGUCCGUGGCAAAAAGCAAUGCCCUUGCAAAGCUGGUACACCAUGAUCUACAUGCAUACCAGCAAGUUCACCAACAACGAAUAAGUCAAUCAAACGCCGUCGGCGCAUUCAAAUAUUUUAUGAGGAGAACUAGAUAAAAAUGGAUUUACUAGAUAAAAACGAAUCAGUCAAUCAAACACUUGUUAUGAGAAGAAAGUACUGGCAGAGAGCAAACUAAAUAAAAAUGGCUUACUAACGUGUGUACGUGUUGGAGCUUUGUCAUGCAUGCAAAUAUUUUAUGAGGAGAACUAGAUACAUGUAUGUGAUCAUUAGAAUGCAUACAUGUGUAGUCAUUCUUCCAAGCUAAGUAACGAUGCAUGUAAAUAGAGGUUGUGGUGGCAGCUUUCUGUUGCCUGGAAGGAUGAUAAUAUCCAUGGCCGCUGUCGUAGACAGUCUGCAGAGACUACGGAGCAGCUACGGCUUGGAAAGAGGAAAAUAAGGAAGAAGCUAGCUAUGCGAUGAUUUGUUCGCUUGCUCAGUUUCAAAAAAAGAGGUUGAGAGUUCUUUUUUUUAGACAGAGAUAAUACUGUGGUUUUGAAGAUACUGCAGUAUUAAUACUACAAUUUUUACUACUAGCCAAACAGGUUAGACUGAAUUAAACUAUAGUAUUUAGAAAAAUUGUAGUAUUUUUAGAAAACUUAGAAAAUACUUCGAUAUCAAACAGGGUGUCUUAGUAUCAACACAUCAGAAGUAUAGGAUCUGUCGGUACUGCAAGAGCAAUAUGCAUGAAUUAUAUCGCCAUUUAGGAAGAAAGGGCGCAACUAGAUUCAAGAGCAAUAUGAUGCAUGUGUGGUCUCCCGACAGGACCAGUGCAGAUGCAACCACCCAUGCCAUUUUUUUCCCACCCUGUGAACUUCCACGCUGUCCAUGAUCUACUAAGUGUUGCAGCAUUUAUAUUCCAACUAGCAGCAUGUUAUAGUCCAAGUUGAAGUAGAAAAGAAACCCACGAAUGAAUUAAAUCUGCUCAAUGUUGACUGAAAGUGUCAAGUUGCAACCAAAGUGAUACGACCAUGUCGCUGUUCUGCUACCUACUACUCAUGAUGCAGAGUUUUCUCAGAAUUUAAUGGCCGACAGACAGCUCCUAACUGAACCUGAACUUGAACCUGAAGCUGAAUGACUGGUCCCAAGAAAUCGCAAUGGGCCUGAACCUGAACCUCGUCUUGACAACCCCUGACUGAACCUCAACUAUCAAGUUAUCAAGUGCUUUUCGCAUGAUUGGGACUAGUAGAAGCGAGAAGUAGGGCUGCCUUAC
RNAcentral lists this long non-coding RNA (4788 nucleotides) under Triticum aestivum (bread wheat). RNAcentral describes it as "long non-coding RNA (TAES_LNC012116)". The record is from RNAcentral. Lineage: Eukaryota; Viridiplantae; Streptophyta; Magnoliopsida; Poales; Poaceae.